GCCGGAUGCGGUGGCUCACGCCUGUAAUCCCAGCACUUUGGGAGGCCAGGGCAGGCGGAUCACCUGAGGUCAGGAGUUCAAGACUAGCCUGACCAACAUGGAGAAACUCCAUCUCUACUAAAAAUACAAAAUUAGCUGAGCNGCUCAGCUAAUUUUGUAUUUUUAGUAGAGAUGGAGUUUCUCCAUGUUGGUCAGGCUAGUCUUGAACUCCUGACCUCAGGUGAUCCGCCUGCCUU
Chlorocebus sabaeus (green monkey) is the source of this 236-nucleotide non-coding RNA. It matches the Rfam family "Metazoan signal recognition particle RNA". From Rfam's summary of the family: The signal recognition particle (SRP) is a universally conserved ribonucleoprotein. It is involved in the co-translational targeting of proteins to membranes. The eukaryotic SRP consists of a 300-nucleotide 7S RNA and six proteins: SRPs 72, 68, 54, 19, 14, and 9. NCBI's taxonomy places the organism in Eukaryota, Metazoa, Chordata, Mammalia, Primates, Cercopithecidae. The record is from Rfam.